Molecule: unclassified non-coding RNA, 167 nt
Filed under: uncultured fungus
Lineage: Eukaryota; Fungi
Description: sequence contains ITS1
Source: RNAcentral
CUGUGAAAGCGCUGGGGUUCGCCCUCGGCUUGCACACCCCCUGUGUUAUUCAUCCGGUUGCUUCGGCGGGGCAGGGGAGACCCUCGCUACCUUGGGGCGGCGUGUCCCCGUCGAAGACCUCUCCAACUCUGGCGUUUGCAGGUUGUCCGAGCAAAUUUGAAUCAUCA